This 9419-nucleotide long non-coding RNA is filed under the name Capsella rubella. RNAcentral describes it as "long non-coding RNA (CRUB_LNC002351)". The record is from RNAcentral. Lineage: Eukaryota; Viridiplantae; Streptophyta; Magnoliopsida; Brassicales; Brassicaceae.
CGAUCAAGAGGUUCUAAUAGCUUGGAUUUGCUUAGAUCUUUAGUAUAGAUUUUGGUAUUCUCUGUAUUAGUAGUUGUUUUCGUAUUAAAGGGUAAUUUUAGGUGGUUAAGAGAUGAUUUCACUCAGAGUUGUGGAGUGUUAUCUAUCUCAUUGUGGUUAAAAACAUGCAAUGGUUUUUCGAUCAGGUAGCGUUGGAUCCGCUAGUGAUUCAGGGUUUUACUAGAUCAUCCCAUUGCGUUUGGUCCAAUUCUAUAGAGGUGAAUGUAAUGUACCUUGAAUUUGGAUGUAAUCCUUUGGUUAAUGAAUAGUUGAAGUUGAGACAAAAAAAAACUCUACACGUGCUGUAUUUGUUCCAUUUCUUCUCCUAUUGUAUACACGUGAAGUGGCUUAUCACUCAGCUCUUAUAAAUCCAAAGGACUAUGAGUUGUGAAGAAGUUAAUUAACUUAUCUAUCUUUGAGGGAAUAUUGUGAGUUAAUUAUAAUUCCAAGUACUUGAUUUGAGUUUAGUCUUAUGUGAGCUAAAUGAAUGUAAUCUUGUAACCUUUAUAUAUCUACCAAAAUCUUGUAACCUUUAUAUACAGUAAAACCUCUAUAAAUUAAUACUCGAUAAAUUAAUAACUUCUAUAAAUUAAUAAAUUUAUCCGGUCCCAAGUUGGGACCAGUGUAAUUUUAGACAUAUUUCGAUAAAAUAAUAAGAUAAUAAUUUUUUUGAAAAUCCUUUGUAAAUAUAUGGUCCCAUCAAAAUUAUAAAUUAAUAAUUAGGUAAAAUUUUCAAAAUAUAUGUAUAUAUAAACACAUUAGUUUUUGUUAGAUUUUAUUUCUAAUAUUUUACUAUAUGAAAAAUAGUUAGCAUUCUAUUUUAAUACAUAAUUAUUAUUAUUUUAUUUGUAAUUGAAUAUAUAAAAUACUAAUUAUCAUGAUUAAAUCUUAUUUUUAAAUAUUGUUUGAAAAUAUUUUCCAAAUUAGAAAUAUCUCUCUAUAAAUUAAUAAUUAUUAAUUUAUCGAUAAAUUAAUACCUCUAUAAAUUAAUAGAUUUUCAUGGUCCCAACAUUAUUAAUUUAUAGAGGUUUUACUGUAUCUACCAAAUUUUUCGGGCCGGGCCGGGCCGGGCUCUGCAUGUUUUUCUAACCAAGAGUGGUUUUGAAUGUUUGUUAAUGAUGUUCUUGGUUACAUGUUCUUUUGUUCGUUUUGAAUCUUUGAGCAGUGAGAGAUGUUAGAGUGGUUUUUUUCACUGAGGAGUUUGAUGCACAAAUACUGAGAGCAGAGGAUCCAAGAAGAUUCAUGUAAAGAUCUCAAGAUGGUAAUAGUAAUCCUUGGAUCUGAGCAAAUGGGAUCGAAGUUGGAAGAUCCCUUAAACUCUUGACAUAAUCUUGUAAAUCUUCACUCUAUGGAAUAUCACUUUUGUUCUUAGUCCUCCUAUCUAUUAGCUAGACUCCUAGUGCUAUGUUUUGAUAGGUAACAAAAUGCAAAUUAUUUAGUUCUAUUAAAACCAUAUAACGCAAUUUGCAAGAAUUAUUGCUUCACAUCCGCAUUAAAAUGUUUUUGUAACUUUAUAGCUAAUGGUUAGUUACUUAGUUUGUGUAUUAUACAAAAAUGAUCAAAAAGUAUUAAUUGGAAACCGAUGAUAUCAAAGAUAGUGACUGGCCUGCGAAACCAACAGAACUAAUUACUACAUACUUUGUAUAUAAACUCGUUUAGAUCAUAUAAGAGAAAAUAACAUUUUUUUUUAAUUGGUAAACUCCUGCUUGAUCUGGUAAUUUAGUAUAAUUUGUCUACUUAAUUCAUUUUUGUCCGUUUAAUUAUUUCUUUCUUAUCUUAAAAGAAAUUGACCUUUCAACCAAAAUUUAAAAGUUUUGGAUACCCCAUCACGGAUUCUGCUACGCUUGGUAAAAUUUUUGUUUUUUUCUAUAUAUUAGUAGAAUAUUAUUCAUGGUAAAAUGAAAAUUUUUGAUACUUCUUACAGCGACUAACGCUAACGGAUUUAUGGCGCUAGACAUUUGGUUCCAAAACACGGCUGGACCGACUAAGAAACAAGCAGUUGCUCUCCGCGUAAAUGCUGAUCAAUCUGUCUUUUAUCGCUGUCGAAUAGAUGGCUACCAGGACACGCUUUUCGCUCAGCUGAAUCGACAGUUCUAUCGUGAUUGUUACAUCACGGGAACCAUUGACUUUAUAUUUGGGGAUGCUGCCGCAAUAUUCCAAAAUUGUGAGAUUGUGGCACGAAAGCCUCUAAACGGACAGAGCAAUGUGCUGACGGCUCAAGGACGCAUUGAUCCGACCAGAAAUUCUGGCUUCUCGCUUCAAAGGUGUAAUAUAACAGCGAGCUCCGAUCUAGCUCCGGUCAAAGGAACAGUAAAAUCAUUCUUAGGACGUCCGUGGAAAAAGUUUUCUAGAGUGGUAAUAAUGCAGUCAUUCAUAGAUGAUUUUAUUGAUCCGGGUGGGUGGAUUCCUAUGAACAACGAUGUUGGACGUUUAUCGACGUUGUUCUUUGGUGAAUACGAGAACAAGGGUCCUGGGGCAGACACUAGAAGAAGGGUUAAAUGGCAAGGACACAAAUUGAUGACUGAUUCGAAGGAGGCAUCAAAAUUCACAGUGACUAGUCUUAUUAAUGGUGAGUUGUGGCUUAAUUCUACCAUUGUGCCUUAUGAGGAAGGACUCUAAAUACUUGUGUUUAUGUUAUAUGUGUUAGUAAAUAAAUGUUAUUAAUUUGUGUGAUAAAAACUGGUAAAAAAUAGAUUUUGUAUUUUCUGUUAUUCACAAACCUAAAAAUGAGAGUUUCUAUAUGAAAGAAAUCUAUAUAUAGUGUACUUUUAAAAACUACUAGCAUAUCAAAAUUACCAAUGAAAGGGAAAAUAUUCUAACGCCUUUUCUUUAACAUAUCAAAUUGAUUGAGGAAAGCUGUCGUCAUCAUACAAUUACUACAUAGUAUUUAGCUUUUAAUCCCACUUUUACUAGAACAUCGGCACCCUUAAAACUAUUCUACAAGGCCGGUCUCGAAAUUUUUUGUGGCCGAAAACAUAUUUAAACUGACAUCUUCUAAACAAAAAAAACUAAUGUUAAAAUUUGUUAGCAAAUACUAAAAUGUAUAAAAACCAAAAUUAAUAAUUCAAUGGAAAAAAAAAAUUCUCUCCCACUUCACCAAACACCUAAAAAGUAAAAACGAAAGCUAGAUUUGUAUGAUGACGAAACAAAAAUUAACGACAUUUAAACAUGUACAAAGCCAACUCACCAAUGUAAACUUCGUGUACAAACAGUCCUACGCUUUUAUUUAUCAUUGGUGGCCUAAAGCAAAUGCUUUGUUCUUGUAAUGUUACAUAUCUAAAUGUUUUUUUCUCAAAUAAUAAAAUGUUAUAAGAAUAAGUUGAGAAAAGUUAACAAUAAAAUAUGUGUGUUAGUUUUCUCUUCUGUCUAAUAAUUUUUGUAAGCUAAUAUUUUUUUUUUUUAAAUACCAUUAUAUUUUCUCUUGGGUUAAAAAUUUACAUUAUUUCGUGCUACUCCUAAAGUUUUUUUUCUGAAAAAAAAGCUAAUAAAAAUGAAAAUUGCUACCUGAAAUGAAUAUAUUUUCUAUAUCCACUACAUAAUUAUAUAUAUUGUGCUGUUUAUCCUAAAUGAGAAUUUAACAACAAAAAUUGAAAGUUUUGAUUUUUUCUUAAGCACAAAUGAAAAUUAUAAAAUUACCAUAAAUGCAAACCCCUACUUAAUAAAAUGGAAGUACACAACAUUAAAAUGUGAGUCAAAUUAUAUAAAAAUACCAUUAUAAAUAUAGGAGAGUUAUAUAAAAAUACCAUUAUAAUAAUUACCAAGGCGAAAAAUGUCAAUAAGUAAUUUAUUCAACUUAGUUACUUAAGAAUAGAAACAAAAACAAUUUUUUUUUUUUUGAGUUUUUUUUCGUACAACAUAUUUUUAUUUAUUUUAUCUGUUAUUUUAUCUGUUGAGUUUUAUCAUAUACAACAUAUUUUUAUUUAUUUUAUCUGUUAUUACGUAUGAAAAGUAUUCGGACCAAACACCUAAUUCAUUGUACGUACGAUAUAUGAUUUGAUAAAAUAGAGAAUGUCAUGAACAAAAUACCUAAGCUCACUAGCUAUAAUAAUGUAAUAAUUAAUAUAUAGCACAUCGUUUACAUUGUCCUCUGAUCCUCUUCCUUGUUCGGUAGUGCAAAUUCACCUCAUCUUUAACUUGCAUGCAUACAAUAAGCUAUAUAUUCCCAAACUCACUGAUUUGACAAACAAUACAAUUGAAAGAUAUAUAUAUAUAUAUAUAUAUAUAUAUAUAUACACAUAUAUAUGUGUAAUGGAAUAAUAGAAAAAAGCCACCUCAUGUUAUUGUCAAGGAGAUUAAUUCAACUUUUAAUCAGUGCUAAAUUAGCAAGUUUGGAUCGUGUGAUUCUUCAGCGCAUGAACAACUUUUAGAUGAUCAUUCUCUAAGUUUUUUGGCAGUUUGGUUUGGAUUCAUUCAGCGGUGAUUUUACUCUUGCUUCACUUAAAUAUUGUUUAAUAUUAACUAGGAGAUAAUCCGUGCUACAGCACGGAUGAAGUUUUCUCGAAAAGUUAAUAAUUUUUUUUUUAAUUGUUCUUAUUUAAGAUAUUCUAACGCUUUUUAUCUAAUACAGUAAACUGAUUGUGGAAAGUUGUUGUCAUCGUACAAAUUAUGUAGAAAAUGGACAAAUAUCCAUUACAAUUACUAUUUCCAACUUUUACUUGAACAUCGGCACACUUAAUACUAUUCUACAAGGCCGGUCCUCGAAAUUUUGUGGCCUAAAACGUAUUUAACAAAUGUCAUCUUCUAUAUAAAAACUAAUGUUAAAUUUUGUUAUUAAUAUACUAAAAUUUAUAAAACAAACAUAGGAAAAAGCCAUUGUUGUUAAGGAAAGGGAAUUAUACCAAAAACAAAUAAGUGAAAAUGGAAAAAAAAAAAUUCUCUCCCACUUCACCAAACACCUAAAAUUUUAAACGAAAGCUAGAUUUUUUUUUUUUUUGACAUCAAACGAAAGCUAGAUUAAAGACAAUUAAAAGGAAAAAAAAUGAGUAACAUAUUAGUGAAGUGUGCAAGAAUAUUUUAAUCUUGCGUGUGGCUGAUUUAAACAUGUACAAAGCCAACUAAUCAAUGUUAAACUUCUUGUAUAAACAAUUCCUACGCUUUUAUUUAUCAUUGGUGGCUUAAAGCAAAUGUUUUUUUUCUUUGUUAAUGUUACAUAUUUAAUUUUUCAACUAAUAAAUAUUAUAAGAAUAAGAUAAAAUUAACAGUUUAAAUAUACUGUAUGUGUUAGUUUUUCUUCGGUCAAAAGUUAUAAUUUUUUUUAAGGUAAUAAAUAUUUUUUUCAAAUGCCAUUGUAAUCUAGUAAACAAACAUAUAUUAUAUUGUCUUCCGUCAAUCUUCUUCUUUCCCAUUCAAGAGUGAGAAAAGAAGAUAUGAUAUAUGUUUGUUUACUACAUUACAUUAGUUACAUAUGGCUGAGUGGUUAGAAAGGGGUUAAUGGUGUCUUAGAGUUUGUGGGUUUGAACCUAGCAUGCUGCAAUUUUGUUUUUAUUCAGACAACAAAUACGACGUCGUUUUGAUUUCUUCUACACACAUGACUGCCACGUCAUAUUGGCUAAACGGAAAGUUAACAGAGUUAAACAAUAAACACGUUUUUUGGUAUGUUAAGGCACAAAAAUUGAAGUUUAGGUAUGGAAUUCAAAUUAUUUUAAAGUUAAUGUAUUUUUAGGCACAAUGGAUAGUUAGAUGUAUGAAUUCAACACAGAGCAAUUAUGCAGGUAUGAAAAAGCCCUUUUUCCGUCAAAAGUUAGCAUAUCUAAACUAACAAAAAAAACAUUAAAAAAAUUAUGGUAUAUAAUUUAUUAGCAUUAUCUAUUCUUUUUUCUGGUCAAAGAUAUAACAUUGAAAACUCAUCUUACUAUAAGUACAUAAUCUAUUAGCAUUUAAUUUUGAAGAUAUGUUUCAGCCUAUAUAAAUCUCAUCUAAGUUCUCAAACAUCAUAUAGAAAAAUGUUUACAUCCGUAAAAAAUAACAUCAGAUUGGUUCUUAUAGUGGUAUUACUUAUUGCUGUCUCAUCACAUGCAAGAUUUAGUAUUAUGGUUACCAAAGGAGUGAUCAACUCCAUCUGCACCAAAGAUAAACGUCUUUCUUCACUCUGUUUCGAGGUUCUAAAACCAACAUCUGAAAUUGCAAAAUUAGAUCUUUUUGGUCUCACCAAAUAUUUGAUCAAUUAUCAGUCUCGAAAUUUAUCAGAUACGAUGAAGCAAUUGAAAUUGUUUGCGGACAACACAACUGAUUUUCGUACUCAUAAUAUGUAUACAACUUGCAUUGAAGAUUAUGAUAGUGCAUUGUAUUAUAAUCAAUAUUCUCUUAAAGAUUUGGCAGCUAAAGACUAUGAUGGUUUAAACACAAGAAUUGGUGGUGUCGGACCAGAGAUGUAUGCAUGUAGUGAUGGUUUGUUAACAGUCAAGCCAAUACCUCAACUCCUUAUUAAGAAAUGUAAUUUUAUUAGUGAUCUAUCAAGCAUUAUGUUAGUGAUACUUGAAUAUUUCAUAAGAAAUAAUUAAAUAAAUGUAGUUAUGAAAUUAUAAUAAAUUAAUAAUAAUAUUUUUAUGGUAUGGCAUAUGCCUUCUUUUAUUUAUAAACACAUACACAAACAUCAAUACUUCUAUUUGACUAUCUGGGCCUUUGGUGCUUUAUAUACCUAAUGUGCAAGUAAAAUGACCUUUAAUUUAACCCAAAAAAUAAAGUAAAAGGGUUUUCAUACACCUCUUUAGAUAUUAUAAGGACAUAUUAAAAGUAGAACAGUGUAACGCCCCGACCAUCACCUCUACAAUGGGCCCCAUAUUCACCACCAUCCAAUGGGUCCACCGCUCUUAAUGGACAUCACGUCCUCUCACUAGACACAUGAGCCAAUCAAUAUUCGACUGUCGAUUUGUUACAUCGGGAAGACUUGAAUACUUGUUUACAGACCCUACAAAUCACCACAUGAUCUUUCCCUGUGUUUUGGCCUCACUUACUCAGUUCCCACAACCACUUCCCUGAAGGUCAUCCAUCUUUUGACUACUCCAGCAUAAGCACGCUUAACUGUGAAGUUUUCUCAGGACCCUUGACCUUUGGUGACAUAGGUGACCAAAUCAAUUCAUUUAAACAUCUACGUAAAGCAUGGUCUCACAAAAAAUAUUGGUACUUAUACAAAAAAUAUAAAUCCAAUACACAAAAUAGCAGCAUAAUUACAUUAUUUUGUGCUACUCCUAAAGUUUUUUUUUCUGAAAAAGCUACUAAAAAUGAAAAUUUGCUACCUGAAAUGAAUAUAUAUUCUAUAUCCACUACAUAUAUAUAUAUAUAUAUAUAUAUAUAUAUAUAUUGUGUUGUUUAUCCUAAAUGAGAAUUUAACACCGAAAAUUGAAAGUUUUGACUAUUUUAUUAAGCAUAAUUGAAAAUUAUAAAACUACCAUAAAUGCAUCCCCUAGUUAAUAAAAUGGAAGUACGAAUGUGAGUCGAGUUAUAUCAAAAUAUCAUUAUAAAUAUAGGUUUCAAAAAAUAAAUAAAUAAUAUUCGCUAAGGCGAAAAAUGUCAAUAACUGUAUUUUUUUCAAUUUAGUUACUUAAGAAAACAAAAUUUUAUUUUCAGUUUCAAAAAUAAAUAUCUAACAAAAAUAAACAAAUAAGAUUUGAUUAUAAUGAUAAGAAUAAUCAACUUUAUAUAUAACACUUGGUUUUCAUAUUGUUCACCCCAGAGUCAUAUAAACAAAACAGAAGUACAACAAGGAGUUGAAAUUAAUUGGUUUUGCUUAAGCCAAUCAUUAUUAACUCGGGUUUGAGUUUCAAUCUCUUGUGAGAAAAAACAUUGAUGCUUCAAAAUUCUUAAAUUUUAAUCUCUGAUAAAAAAAACACAUGAUCAGAAAUUUCUUAAAGUUGACAUUUGUUAGAGAACUCUGCGUCGUUGAUACUUUUUUCAAAAUUUGCCAUGUGACUCUAUAUUGAGAAGGCUCCCUAAUUGCUUUGGAUCGGAUCAGCUUCUUAAACCUUGGUGAUGCGGUUUUGUGUUCUAAAGCAAUUAGGGAAUUAACCAUACUUAAUUAUUUCUUUCUUGCUGCAUAUCUAUUAGCUGCCUUGGAUAUAGAUAUAGGUUAUCUAAAGGGUUUAGACAUAAGAUAUGAUAGGGUUUUGGUGGCUAUCCCCACAUCACUCGAAAGGAUGUGUUCUUCAUUGUGUUGGUUCCACUACCUAACCAUCUUCUAGCAUUUUAUUUUACUAAAGGCAAGAUCUCUACUCUUUACACGUGACUUACUAACUUUUAAAAUCAAGCUUUACAAUAACUAAGAUAUAUAUAUAUAUAUAUAUAUAUAUAUAUAUAUACGUUUCCAAAAAUAUAUAUUAUACGAAGCUAUGUUGUAUGUAAACGGAAGGUUUAGAAACGAAAAAACAAUUUUCAAUGAAAUUAGGACAUGGAUUUUUUGGAAAAUAUAUGUUAAUAAAAGAUUUUAAAAACAAAAAUAUAAUGCCAAAUUAGAGAAAAUUAUAGACGAAAACAAAACGAUUUGCCAAACAAGCAAACACAAACACUAGAUAAAUACAAUAAAUACUUGAUAAGAUUACACUAAAUCCUCAAGUUAAAAAAAAAAAAAAAAAAACGUUAGAAAAUCUGCAUAACCCUAGCUAGUGCAUGCAUGUCAUAUAUAUAUAUAUAAAAGUAUGUGUCCCCUCCUCGUUCGUUCUUCAUAUAUAGAAAAGAGAAAACAAUAAUACAAAUUAAUAUAUAGACAUAAGACAUGAGAGGGUUUUGGUGGAAGUUAAUAGCGCUAGUGUCGAUAUGGGUCAUCCCGACAUCACUCGAAAGCAUGUGUUCUUCGAUGUGUUGGUCGUACUACCUAAUCAUCUACGCUUUCUCAGUCUUGUACUCGGCGAUGUCUCUUUUGAUAACCACAGCUCUUCCUAUCUGCGAGGAACAUAAGCCUCCUUUGCCUUAUGCACGAACGUUCUAUUCCAUCGUUCCUAUGAUCCCCAUUCAUCUAUUGUCCUUCUAUUACCCAUCCGUGGAUGUCUUGCUCUACGUCUACUCCAUGUAUGCGUUGGGAUAUGCAUGUUUCAACAUUAACUCUCCUAUACAGACUAAGUACGCACGCUUCUCCUUUAUCUUAACACUGUUCGUCGGUUUCUUCGGACUCAAGCUUGGUGAGUAUUGUAGCACACAGUCUUGUCCGUUGGAGUAUUCUCUACUGCUUUCUGUUCUUUGGAUUAAUUUACUCAGUUUCGUUCUAGAUUGGUUUAACGGCAUUCUAGAUUUUAAUAAUUAUUAGGUUUCUUUAUUUUGUUUCAUAAGGGUCGAAUUUAUAUAUUCCUUAGUUUUGUUGAUUACAUAAUAAAGUCUAAUAAAAGAUUAUUAUUUUGCGCUUCGUAUGUUUCUUAUAUAUCCUAUAUAUAUAUACAACAACAUAAAACUCU